RNAcentral lists this small nucleolar RNA (130 nucleotides) under Castor canadensis (American beaver). RNAcentral describes it as "Small nucleolar RNA SNORA51 (ENSCCNG00000006039.1)". It matches the Rfam family "Small nucleolar RNA SNORA51". Rfam says of the family: ACA51 is a member of the H/ACA class of snoRNA that guide the sites of modification of uridines to pseudouridines. Lineage: Eukaryota; Metazoa; Chordata; Mammalia; Rodentia; Castoridae. The record is from Rfam by way of RNAcentral.
GGCCUCCUGGUGCUCACCACAGGCUGUGUUCUUUCACUUAAUAUAUAAAGAAAAGGGAAAGUAAACCUACCCCAUAUACACCUCAACCCAUGCCCUAUGCCUGGUCUGUAUUGACAGUGGGAAGACAUGG